This is a non-coding RNA of Phascolarctos cinereus (koala), 2703 nucleotides long. The record is from RefSeq and is a predicted model, not a curated record. Lineage: Eukaryota; Metazoa; Chordata; Mammalia; Diprotodontia; Phascolarctidae.
AAAUAAUUGCAAAAACACGUUUCCUGUCCAUUUGGCUUCUAGCAGGUAUGAAGGACAAGGGAUAUUUUGCAAUGACCUGCUGAGAGUGAACUACAUUUGUAUUUUUCAAAACACCCUGCAGCAGCUGUGUAAUUAGCAAGGUGCUAGUCUGGCUAGCACGGAGGCAUACGGAGGGGUGCUUCAAUGAUCCAGUAUUGAUUAGAGUUCUCCCUCCACCAAAAGCAAGGCAGACUAAACAAACAUACCCAGUUCCUUCAAUUCAUCCUCACUUGACACAGCCUGAUCACCAUCUUUGGUUGCCAGGAAGAUAAUAAUUUUUUUAGGUUUUGACUCUCUCCAGGAGGAAGACCAAAAGGAUAGAUUGGGGCUCCGGACUUGAGUUUCAAAGUCAGCAGAUAAAUAAGCUCUUUCCUAAGGAACUGGAGGCAAUAGAACCAUUCACCAGUGAUUCAUGUACCACUUUUUAAACUGCAACCAAAAAAAAAAAAGAUGAAUCAUCAAAGAAAUCGCCCAGAUUCUGAGUCUUCUUCCUGGGAUUCAACGAGAAUAGAUUCUAAAGUCUCUCUGUUGUUCAUUAACAUACUUACUCAUUCAUUUAAAAUAACCUCUUAGUGCUAUCAUAAUAAGGACGGGUUUUGUUGUGUGUGGGGUUUUUUUCCUUCCAAAAUCUUGUUCUUGGAAAUCUUUGUUUAAAAGCCAGAUGGGGCUCCAAGUCACUGUGAGAUGAAUCAUUCCAGAAACUUGGUGUUCACUGUAGCUGGACCAAUUAUGCUAAAAAUCUAUGCCUGGAGAAAUAGGAAUAUAAACAGGGAGGUUUAACUAGGAGACAAGUAUGCAGUCCAACUCCCCUCUUUUAAUAGAAACGUGUGUGUGUGUGUGUGUGUGUGUGUGUGUGCAUGUGCCCGGGUCCUACUCCAGAAAAUAAUGAGUCACCAACUUGAAAAGAGACCAUCUGGUUUGAGCAGUCAUUUGAGCCAGGAAGCAUUGACCCUGACAUUCAACCCUAUAGAUAUUGAAGAGAAAUAACACUGGAAAGAAGACAGCUACCAUUGGUGAUUGGUUGUUUCAAACUAGCUAGGGUAGUUUGGAAAACAUGGAACAGAAUUUUCUCCAGGUCAAGGACACCAUAUUGUUCUGUUCAAGGCUGUAAAGCUGAUAGGAAACCUACUUCCAAGAAAUGAGUAUUAGCAAAUUGUAAAAGAUUCAGUCAUUAACAUUGUUCCUGACUCCACUCCCUCUCCACUUCUCAACAACAGCCAUAUUCUUUAUACGGACCCUCCCCACUCUCUUUCCAGAUCCCCUCUGUGUAUUGUCUUCCCCCCAACAGAAUACAAAUUCUUUGAGAGGGAAAGAACUAUCUCAUUUGCUUUUAAUUGUAACCCAGCAUUUACCACAGUAUAUGGUACAUAAAGUACUUAUUGAGCUUUUAACAUCUAUCUAUCUACCUACCUACCUACCUACCUACCUACUUUAGUCCUUAUUGACAUAUGGCAGUGGUCAUGCAAGAUUGAUAGUGGGACAGAGGUAAAUUUUAUUUUAUUUUAUUUUUAUUGGACCUGUGAUUUUCAUUGUUAUGUGGAUGCUUUGUAUGUAUCUCUCUAACUUAGAGGCCAGAGGAAUCUCUUAAUAUGUCCACAGGAACUGGUGAUCUGUAUCACCACCCUUUAUGUAGCCGCUGUGGUUAGCUUGGAUUCAGCUUUGGGAAAGCCCAGUUUCUCAAUGAGGGAAUUAGGCUUCCCAUUCUUACACUCAUUGAGUCAUCACUCCCACCCUAGCCACUCUGUGGACAAUCCUCAAGUUUCCCUAAAAAAGGGGAAAGUGAAAGAUGUGCACAAUAUGCACAAGUAUAUGACAGGCUAUUUAUUCCUACACGGCGACUAACAAUAAACAUAAGAGAAACACAGUGUACAUUAACAGAAUGAUUCAAACAAGAUUCAGUAACUUAUUAGUGGUAAUACAAUCAGCUGAGAGGCUAAUUAAUAUUGAAGCCUCUUUGGGACACAAAAUAGUUUUUGCAGCACUACCAAUUACUCAUCUCUACUGGCAUCGAACUGUCAAAUAGCCCAGUUUGACCUCCUUUUGGUAACCCCUCUCCAGCUAUCCGACUCUUGUCACUGCUUGGAACGAUCUCUUCCUUAGUGUUGCUGUGUUAAUCUCUAUGGCUACUAAUCUUUUGAUGCUUACGAAGUUGAUGCAAAAGGAGGAACCACACCAGAUAGGCAAAGGUAACUAGAGGCCAGGUAUAAGCCUAGCUAGCUGAAUCUAUGGUGAUAAUUGUUGAAAUCAUGUCUGGUGGAGACGGACCAACAUAUGUUGCCACCUAGAGGACUUUGUCCAAGCCAGACCAUUAUCUGGGAGCUUCCAUUUUAACCAGGUGUGGUAGCCCAUAUCAUCAGCUCUUCCCAUCCGGCAACCAAUUAGAAGACUCUAAGUGGAUGAUUCAUACGUAGUCAGAAGGAGGCUUUAAAAGUUCCUGGCUGUGCGUAGAAGGAAGGCCUGAUCACAUAUUUAUAAAUAUGUUUUGUAAUGUGCAUUUAUAUGGACCAGUUGUCCCCCCCUUUCCCCAUUAGAGUGUAAAUAGGAAUUAUAUUUGCUUUUUGUCUUUGUAUCCCCAGUGGAGCAUACAGUAAGCACUUAAUAAGUGCUUAUUGAUUGAUUGAUGUGAAAAAAUACCAAAUAUCAAUAAAGGUCAUAGAUAUAGAA